RNAcentral lists this ribosomal RNA (253 nucleotides) under uncultured bacterium. RNAcentral's name for it is "partial 16S ribosomal RNA". It matches the Rfam family "Bacterial small subunit ribosomal RNA", at positions 524 to 776 of the family's 1533-position model. The record is from RNAcentral.
UACGUAGGUGGCAAGCGUUGUUCGGAAUUAUUGGGCGUAAAGGGCGCGUAGGCGGCUUGGUAUGUCGGGUGUGAAAUCCCCGGGCUCAACCUGGGAACUGCAUCCGAAACUGCCUUGCUCGAGUAUGGGAGAGGGAAGUGGAAUUUCCGGUGUAGCGGUGAAAUGCGUAGAUAUCGGAAGGAACAUCAGUGGCGAAGGCGACUUCCUGGACCAAUACUGACGCUCAGGUGCGAAAGCGUGGGGAGCAAACAGG